CUUUAAGAGACUGGCCGGUGUUAAAGCCGGGAGGAAGUGGGGAUGACGUACAAGUCCUCAUGGCCUUUAUGCCCAGGGCUACACACGUGCUACAAUGGGCGGUACAAAGAGAAGCAACCUCGCGAGGGUGAGCAAAUCUCAAAAAGCCGUUCUCAGUUCGGAUUGAAGUCUGCAACUCGACUUCAUGAAGUCGGAAUCGCUAGUAAUCGCGGAUCAGCAUGCCGCGGUGAAUACGUUCCCGGGCCUU
This 247-nucleotide ribosomal RNA is filed under the name uncultured Syntrophaceae bacterium. RNAcentral describes it as "partial 16S ribosomal RNA". It matches the Rfam family "Bacterial small subunit ribosomal RNA", at positions 1139 to 1382 of the family's 1533-position model. Lineage: Bacteria; Pseudomonadati; Thermodesulfobacteriota; Syntrophia; Syntrophales; Syntrophaceae. The record is from RNAcentral.